Molecule: long non-coding RNA, 998 nt
Organism: Lynx canadensis (Canada lynx)
Lineage: Eukaryota; Metazoa; Chordata; Mammalia; Carnivora; Felidae
Exons: 5
Source: RefSeq, a predicted model, not a curated record
CCUUUGAGAGCAGGCGGCUUGCCCCAGAUCGCGGAGGGAGCCCUCAGCUCUCGGGGACCCAUCCGACUGACCUACAGAUGGCAUCCUUAUCUGCGGAGUAACGACACCUCUGAGAAAUCAUUAACUCUGUUUUGAUAGGAAGAACAAAAGGCGUGAGGCCUAGGGGAAAUGUGUAGCUCAGAGAAGUGAUACCAAGACCCGGUGUAGAAGACUUAGAAAAUUCAGAGACGCAGCCCUCGGUCAAGUACGGUGGCGCGGAGAGAUCUAAGUGGGCUCCUGGGCGCGAGCUGAGCCACCGAACAACGGUCUUGCUGCUCACCCCCUCAGCGACAACGUCGCCGCCGGGCACAGAGUGAGAUCCAGAGAAACACGCGUUCUAGUGGAAACAGACUUUCCGAAUGGGUUUCCGGCCAUCACCACGGUUUCGCAUUAGGUUCUCCACCUGGAUCCUUUGUGCUCCCCUCCUCCUUUAUGUAACCGUCAGUAGAAUAUUCCAGCGAAACAAACAGAUAAAGUGAAGGACAGUAACUUCCCAGAGGCCACUCCGCUGGGAAGUUGCUCGGCCAGGAUUCGGGCACCCGCACCACUCUGCUGUGUGGCCAAGGGCUUUGUGAAGAUGAAUACGUCGUCCGUCACAUCAGCUAGUUGACCACGUGUCCUCCAAGGUCCCCACGAGCCCCGCAAGUGUCCGUGAUGCUCAGUGGCUCACUAGCGUGCGUGCAGAAGAGGAAUUCUCCAUGCUGGCUCUGUUCACGCCCCGGGAACUUUCGCCAGCGGACGAGGGCAGAAACCACUGCCGGCGGGAGAAACCCAACAGGACUCAUCUUCAUGGAUAAGUCAUUCAUGGAGCUCUACUGUGUUGGACGGUCAGGGUCUCUUCCCCUAGGUCGUCAUUCACAUACUAGAUGACAAUUCUUGUGUCAGAUGGAGCCCCGAAAGCUUCUGGAACCCGCUGGUUCCUGGGCUGUGCAACGAAAUUAAAGUUAAGCCCUUCUGCA